RNAcentral lists this non-coding RNA (28 nucleotides) under Mus musculus (house mouse). Lineage: Eukaryota; Metazoa; Chordata; Mammalia; Rodentia; Muridae. The record is from RNAcentral.
UGGGAACAGUAAAAAGCCACAUCUGAAA